This 428-nucleotide ribosomal RNA is filed under the name uncultured prokaryote. RNAcentral's name for it is "bacterial SSU rRNA". It matches the Rfam family "Bacterial small subunit ribosomal RNA", at positions 355 to 774 of the family's 1533-position model. The record is from RNAcentral.
UGAGGAAUAUUGCGCAAUGGAGGAAACUCUGACGCAGCAACGCCGCGUGAGUGAAGAAGGCUUUCGGGUUGUAAAGCUCUGUCAGGUGGGAAGAAACCUUUAUAGUUGAAUAGACUAUAAAACUGACGGUACCACCAAAGGAAGCACCGGCUAACUCCGUGCCAGCAGCCGCGGUAAGACGGAGGGUGCAAGAGUUGUUCGGAAUCAGUGGGCGUAAAGCGCGUGUAGGCGGCUUGACAAGUCGAAUGUGAAAGCCCGGGGCUCAACCCCGGAAGUGCAUUCGAAACUGGCAGGCUUGAGUACGGGAGAGGGAAGGGGAAUUCCUGGUGUAGAGGUGAAAUUCGUAGAUAUCAGGAGGAACACCGGUGGCGAAGGCGGCUUCCUGGACCGAUACUGACGCUGAGACGCGAAAGCGUGGGGAGCAAACA